This 390-nucleotide ribosomal RNA is filed under the name uncultured eukaryote. RNAcentral's name for it is "SSU rRNA". It matches the Rfam family "Eukaryotic small subunit ribosomal RNA", at positions 592 to 971 of the family's 1831-position model. The record is from RNAcentral.
CAAUAGCGUAUAUUAAAGUUGUUGCAGUUAAAAAGCUCGUAGUUGGAUUUCUGUUUUUAGUUACCGGUCCGCUCAUGUAUUUGAGUGUGUACUAUGGUUACUGAAUUCAUUUUUUGAGAGGAUCCUUGGCCGGCAUUAAGUUGUCCGGCCUUGUGUACUUUCAUCUUUUACUGUGAAAAAAUUAGAGUGUUUAAAGCAGGCGUUCGCUUUAUUUGAAUACAUUAGCAUGGAAUAAUAAGAUACGACUUGUGUGGUCUAUUUUGUUGGUUUGCACACGCGAGUAAUGAUUAAUAGGGACAGUUGGGGGUAUUCAUAUUACAUUGUCAGAGGUGAAAUUCUUGGAUCGAUGUAAGAUGAGCUUAGGCGAAAGCAUUUACCAUGGAUGUUUUC